This 76-nucleotide transfer RNA is filed under the name Methylocaldum gracile. RNAcentral describes it as "tRNA-His". It matches the Rfam family "tRNA". Rfam says of the family: Transfer RNA (tRNA) molecules are approximately 80 nucleotides in length. Their secondary structure includes four short double-helical elements and three loops (D, anti-codon, and T loops). Lineage: Bacteria; Pseudomonadati; Pseudomonadota; Gammaproteobacteria; Methylococcales; Methylococcaceae. RNAcentral also lists the same sequence under 13 other names. The record is from RNAcentral.
GUGGCCGUAGCUCAGUUGGUAGAGCCCCGGAUUGUGAUUCCGGUUGUCGUGGGUUCGAGCCCCAUCGGUCACCCCA